UACGUAGGUGGCGAGCGUUGUCCGGAUUUACUGGGCGUAAAGGGAGCGUAGGCGGACUUUUAAGUGAGAUGUGAAAUACUCGGGCUCAACUUGAGUGCUGCAUUUCAAACUGGAAGUCUAGAGUGCAGGAGAGGAGAAUGGAAUUCCUAGUGUAGCGGUGAAAUGCGUGGAGAUUAGGAAGAACACCAGUGGCGAAGGCGAUUCUCUGGACUGUAACUGACGCUGAGGCUCGAAAGCGUGGGGAGCGAACAGG
This 253-nucleotide ribosomal RNA is filed under the name uncultured bacterium. RNAcentral's name for it is "partial 16S ribosomal RNA". It matches the Rfam family "Bacterial small subunit ribosomal RNA", at positions 524 to 776 of the family's 1533-position model. The record is from RNAcentral.